Molecule: ribosomal RNA, 778 nt
Filed under: uncultured bacterium
Lineage: Bacteria
Description: bacterial SSU rRNA
Rfam family: Bacterial small subunit ribosomal RNA
Source: RNAcentral
UGGUGGCGAGUGGCGAACGGGUGAGUAAUAUAUCGGAACGUGCCCAGUCGUGGGGGAUAACGCAGCGAAAGCUGUGCUAAUACCGCAUACGAUCUCAGGAUGAAAGCGGGGGACUCGCAAGGGCCUCGCGCGAUUGGAGCGGCCGAUAUCAGAUUAGCUAGUUGGUGGGGUAAAAGCCCACCAAGGCGACGAUCUGUAGCUGGUCUGAGAGGACGACCAGCCACACUGGAACUGAGACACGGUCCAGACUCCUACGGGAGGCGGCAGUGGGGAAUUUUGGACAAUGGGCGCAAGCCUGAUCCAGCAAUGCCGCGUGCAGGAUGAAGGCCUUCGGGUUGUAAACUGCUUUUGUACGGAACGAAACGGUCUGCCUUAAUACGGUGGGCUAAUGACGGUACCGUAAGAAUAAGCACCGGCUAACUACGUGCCAGCAGCCGCGGUAAUACGUAGGGUGCGAGCGUUAAUCGGAAUUACUGGGCGUAAAGCGUGCGCAGGCGGUUAUAUAAGACAGAUGUGAAAUCCCCGGGCUCAACCUGGGACCUGCAUUUGUGACUGUAUAGCUAGAGUACGGUAGAGGGGGAUGGAAUUCCGCGUGUAGCGGUGAAAUGCGUAGAUAUGCGGAGGAACACCGAUGGCGAAGGCAAUCCCCUGGACCUGUACUGACGCUCAUGCACGAAAGCGUGGGGAGCAAACAGGAUUAGAUACCCUGGUAGUCCACGCCCUAAACGAUGUCAACUGGUUGUUGGGUCUUCACUGACUCAGUAACGAAGCUAACGCG